RNAcentral lists this unclassified non-coding RNA (336 nucleotides) under uncultured fungus. RNAcentral describes it as "partial contains 5.8S ribosomal RNA, internal transcribed spacer 2, and large subunit ribosomal RNA". The record is from RNAcentral. Lineage: Eukaryota; Fungi.
AACGCACAUUGCGCUCUGUUUCGGCAGAGCAUGCUUGUUUGAGAAUCUAUAGUAUUUAUUCACUCAUGUGUCUCCUUUGGAGCACUGAGAGAGAUUUGGGUGUUCUGGUUUUCUAUGUAAAUAGUGACCAAGUUGCCUUAAAGCUAUUGUAGUGUUCGUCUAUGAGAUGUUUGAAUCUCUACCGAGCCAGUAUGUGAAUGGUGUAUGCCUUUACUCUUAUAUUGCGCUCAUGUAUGAGAUGAGUCUCUAGGAUUGAGUACUCUCACCUAUGAGUGGGAUUUUUUUUAUCUCACGAACCAUGGUCUCAAAUCAAGCAGGAAGACCCGCUGAACUUAA